UGGAGAGUGAGACGCCGCGACACAAACGCCUCCCCUCUUCCUCCACGCAUCUCUCACUCUCCUGCCCAUUCUCCCAGAACCUUGUCACCCCUUGAAGUACAACAUAUUCACCAAAAUACCACUCGAAGGUGUAAAAUCACACUAAAUCGCUCCGGUAACCGAUCACCGGACCCAAAAUCAAACACCAUGCAGCCGGGAGAGACAGUUUUCCGGUCAGCUCUGGACAAACCCCUACACCAGCUAACAGAAGAUGAUAUUUCUCAGGUCACUCGCGAAGAUUGCCGCCGUUACCUCAAAGAAAAAGGUAUGAGAAGGCCGUCGUGGAACAAAUCGCAGGCAAUACAGCAAGUGAUUUCACUCAAAACACUCCUGGAAGCGACGCCGGAGACUGAAUCUCCAAGGCGACGACUCUACAUUCCCCGUCCUCCUCCUCAUCCUCCUGAUAAUACUCCUCGUGUCCCUCCAAAUUCCUCUGUUUCAGAGAGGGGAGCAAGUGCUGAAACGCCGAUCUCGGUGCCAGCCGAGGAGCCAGUUCCGUGCCGGCAACACGAUCCUCCAAAUCCCGAUGAUCCUGCCGAUCCUCUGCCUCCUGUCCAUGCCGCCGUCACCGAGAAUGCUUCGGUUUCACCAAGAACUACAGGCAUGGCAGAAGAAUCAGCAGGACAGAUGACAAUUUUUUACUGUGGGAAGGUAAACGUCUAUGAUGAUGUACCGGGAGACAAGGCGCAAGCAAUAAUGCAUCUUGCUGCAAGCCCAUUUGCUCCACCUCAGGAUGCUUCUUCAGAUGUAAUUCCUACAUUAAGGCCUUUACAAUGCCAGUUAGACACUCCAGGUGUCAAAGCUGCUCCAAAUUCAAUUGUGGCGAACUUUCCAACCCUGCCAACAGUGAAAGGGGCAGAUAGUGGUCAGCUUCUCUGGGAAGAAAGCAACAUAGCUCGUGAAGACAACCUAGAAGGCUCUACAAGCAGAAAAGCAUCCUUACAAAGAUAUUUUGAGAAGAAGAAAGACAGGUUCAAGAACAAGAGAAAGGUGGCAGUGCCUUCUGCUAGCUUGGACGUCUUCUUAAGCCAUCUGGUUGGAGAUCAAAUCUCAAAUGAUCAUUGGAACCUAAAUGAUGCCUGCUCUCCUUCCCAACCCAGGCCUCCCCAAACGCCUAACCGGUGCAACUCUGUUGACAAUGUAGCAAAAAAUGGCAUCCUCAAAGCUGACCUUAACAACAAAGAUGUCCCAGAAAUCUGAAUACGUGGAGGAUGAAUCUGUUGCACAGCAUGCGGUUCGUUCUUUUGAGCAAGGAAUCGUGUCGAUCGCUAUCCGAUGACCCAUUUUGAUAUCAAUCAAGGCAGUAGAGUUUAGCUCCCUUGGAAGAGUUUGUACUAUAAGUAUUUGAGCCUGCAAGACUUGAUAAGCUGACAGGCAAAAUGAGCUCUGGCAAAAUAUACACAUAACAUGGAGUUUGAAUUGAUGCCUAAGAUUGGCAUCCGGUCCUGAUUUUCAGAUUAGACGAAUUAGAGUAUUGAGGCAUGAAGGGAACGCGAAACUGGGACGUCAAGUCCGCCCAUCAUAUCACCUUGAAGGAAGAUUUUGAGUGGUUCUGAACACGACCCAUGAAUGACCCGAAGGUAGGCCAUUAGGAUAAGUGAAAGAGAUGUUCUGGUUAACAAAUGUGACUGCAUUGGCGACCAUUUGGCCUAGCGAGUGAAAACGAUGUAUGCUUUCGGAUGAUCAUUAAGGCAAACGAAUCUAAACCCACCACGCACUGCCCCCACGAUUUGUCUAAAUUUCAACCAUGGUGGCAAUCCAGAAUAAUUCCUAGGUGAUGUCCCUACCACUCUGUGGCAUUUUCGCACCCUACUAUUUAGCCUUUUUCUCAUUCUUUUUUUUUUAUCCUGUUUUAACACUUGAUGAUACGUGCAUGACACUUGAUAUAAUUAAUCAAUGGUGUGGGUCAGUUAUUUCCUUAAA
Populus trichocarpa (black cottonwood) is the source of this 1962-nucleotide RNA transcript. It is a transcript of the gene named protein TIFY 4B, with no coding region annotated. Lineage: Eukaryota; Viridiplantae; Streptophyta; Magnoliopsida; Malpighiales; Salicaceae. The record is from RefSeq and is a predicted model, not a curated record. The transcript has 10 exons.